RNAcentral lists this unclassified non-coding RNA (490 nucleotides) under Hevea brasiliensis (rubber tree). The record is from RNAcentral. Lineage: Eukaryota; Viridiplantae; Streptophyta; Magnoliopsida; Malpighiales; Euphorbiaceae.
CUGGCGUUUUCCCGUUUUGAAAAUGUUUUCGAGAUGGAAAUGGCAAGACACGCCCAUGAUACGUUUCGAGACUGUGUUUGGAAAAAUCAAAAGAUGGAAAAUCAGAAAUGCAUUUCCGAUGGCCGGAGAUGGCUUCUAGCUUAUGAUUAACAUUUGUUAAUUCUCCCCGUAAAACUCAUCGUGAAGCUGCCCAAAGCCACUAUUGAUCCCAUCUUUUCUUGUACCUAAGCUUGCUAGAUUGAUCAUCUACUUUGCCGGCAUCGUAAAGUGGUCUGAGUUUCGUCAGUGAUGUUCAUAGUGAGUAGGCGAGUUGAUGAGGAGAGAAAGACAUGAGAGAGAAGGGUGGUGCCAUAUACUUUUUUUGGUUUUUUAUUGGUCCUUAAUUUGUUUCUUUUUCUAAUUUCUUUUCUUUUUUUAUUUUCAAAACUUAAUAAAAUAUAAUUGAUUAUAAUUAAAUAACAAGUUCUAGAACAAUUGUCCUAUCUACUUG